GACGAACGCUGGCGGCGUGCUUAACACAUGCAAGUCGAACGGAAAGGCCCUGCUUUUGUGGGGUGCUCGAGUGGCGAACGGGUGAGUAACACGUGAGUAACCUGCGCUUGACUUUGGGAUAACUUCAGGAAACUGGGGCUAAUACCGGAUAGGAGCUCCUGCUGCAUGGUGGGGGUUGGAAAGUUUCGGCGGUUGGGGAUGGACUCGCGGCUUAUCAGCUUGUUGGUGGGGUAGUGGCUUACCAAGGCUUUGACGGGUAGCCGGCCUGAGAGGGUGACCGGCCACAUUGGGACUGAGAUACGGCCCAGACUCCUACGGGAGGCAGCAGUGGGGAAUAUUGCACAAUGGGCGGAAGCCUGAUGCAGCAACGCCGCGUGCGGGAUGACGGCCUUCGGGUUGUAAACCGCUUUCGCCUGUGACGCAGCGUGAGUGACGGUAAUGUGUAAAGAAGCACCGGCUAACUACGUG
This 468-nucleotide ribosomal RNA is filed under the name uncultured bacterium. RNAcentral's name for it is "partial 16S ribosomal RNA". It matches the Rfam family "Bacterial small subunit ribosomal RNA", at positions 28 to 507 of the family's 1533-position model. The record is from RNAcentral.